CGCGGGGUGGAGCAGUUGGUAGCUCGCGAGGCUCAUAACCUCGAGGUCGCAGGUUCGAAUCCUGUCCCCGCCA
This 73-nucleotide transfer RNA is filed under the name Planctomycetaceae bacterium. Its description in RNAcentral is "tRNA-Met". It matches the Rfam family "tRNA". From Rfam's summary of the family: Transfer RNA (tRNA) molecules are approximately 80 nucleotides in length. Lineage: Bacteria; Pseudomonadati; Planctomycetota; Planctomycetia; Planctomycetales; Planctomycetaceae. The record is from RNAcentral.